UUGGCACAGCUGCCUGAGGAAGCCUCACAGGUACCAAAAAAAUUGUUGCCUCAGGGUGAAAGAUGUCUUCAAACUGUUCAAAAGAUGUAAUGUCAGAAAAGGUCCUGGAAGAGGUCCUUUUUUCUCUUUGCAAAGGACAACUGUAAAUCCACACAUCCAUGUCAUGUGUGGUGUCCAGACAGGAACUCAGACUCCCCUCACCUUCAAGUUUAAAGAGAAGAAAGGGGAGAGCAGCAGUGAGCCCAGAAAGUUCCAGGGCAGCCUGAGAGAUGAGAAGUCUCAACUCUCUGUCAGGCAAUGGAAAACUGGGAGCAGUGAAGUGUUGAGGAGCUAAAACUCAUCUUUGCCCAUCACAGGCUGCCAGCAGUCCUGCCUUGUAAAGCAGGGAGUGCAAUGAAGAAGGGCAUGAGGGUGCAGUGGAAAUGAUGCUGAAACAGAACAGCACAUUAUAAGAGAAGAAAUAAUUGAAAUGGGCAUCAAAUCCUGAUACAUGGAGGUGUCAGUGCAGCAGAAAGGAAAGAUACAGUAAGGUUAUUACCUGAAUGCAGGGGCAGUGAAAACGCUGCUGUCAAUCUGCCCAUAUCAGCGGUUGCCUCUUAGCAAGCAGUUAAAUUAUAAAUAUUCCUGAGGCUAUAAAGCUGUUGAAAAAGGCAAAACCAAAAUGAUGGCAGUUAUGUGCUUUCCACAACAAACAGCCAAAUUAUACGAAACAAGGGAAAGAAAAAUGACACAAACAAAUUGUCUGAACAGAGAUUAAGGGCUUUAAAUUUAUUUACUGUAUAAACAGAGCACAUCCACGUGAGAUACAUGAUCACAGGCUAUAAAUACUUCCAAGUUAAUAAUGAAAAAUGGAAUUACUUACCAGCUGUGUUAACAGACAGCCCUUGCAGCUUGCAAUGAGGGAAAAACCCUAAUGUUAAAAGAUAAUUAUAAGCUUCAGAACCUUCUUAAAACUUAGCUGUUCCUGUUGACAGUGCUGUCCCUUUCUGAAAUCAUAUUUAUGGCAGACCUGUAGGAAAUGUAGUGUUGCUAUCAAUACGAUCAGCCCACAGACUUUGCUCUGCACUUGGGAGGCCACAAAACUGAGGCACAUCAGGUUUCCUUUGCUCCAUUUCAUCUUGACCUGCCUGGAGCUUUGUUUUAACUUGUUUUAGCCCCAACAGUGAUUUUUCCUAGUGUCCAGUUGGCUAUGGCCAAUCUGUCUUACUUUUGCCAGCCUUGGUACAGUGUAACCACAGCUUCUGGGCAAGGUGGCAAUCAGAGGGAGUUAUUUUGUGGAGAAUGAGGUAUUUAAUACUCUAGUGCAGUGAAGGAAUUUAUGACUCCAUGGAGUGGUGCAGAGCAGGGCAGGCACGGAAGGAGAGCAGUGGUGACAGAGGGGAAGUCAUGGGGUGGGUACGAGGCAUGGCAGAGGCUGAAUAUUAAAAAAUGUAAAAAAAAAUUGCUCCCCCAAGGUGAAUCAAAAUAAUCAGAAUGGCAAGGAGGAAAAAUAAAGCUCAUCCUAUUGAAGCA
RNAcentral lists this long non-coding RNA (1512 nucleotides) under Cyanistes caeruleus (blue tit). RNAcentral describes it as "lncRNA (ENSCCEG00000018335.1)". Lineage: Eukaryota; Metazoa; Chordata; Aves; Passeriformes; Paridae. The record is from RNAcentral.